Molecule: long non-coding RNA, 100 nt
Organism: Sapajus apella (tufted capuchin)
Lineage: Eukaryota; Metazoa; Chordata; Mammalia; Primates; Cebidae
Exons: 3
Source: RefSeq, a predicted model, not a curated record
UAAGGGUUGCAGGAAAGGGGUCUUGAUCCAGACCACAAGAGAGGGUUCUUGGAUCUUGCACAGAAAAGAAUUCAGCGCAAGUCCAUAAAGUGAAAGCAAG